This is a long non-coding RNA of Erinaceus europaeus (western European hedgehog), 580 nucleotides long. RefSeq lists it as uncharacterized. NCBI's taxonomy places the organism in Eukaryota, Metazoa, Chordata, Mammalia, Eulipotyphla, Erinaceidae. The transcript is spliced from 3 exons. The record is from RefSeq and is a predicted model, not a curated record.
CAGUACUGACCGGCUUGUAGCUGUAGCCGCUCUGCGCGCGGUGAAGAUUUUUAGCUUCCGCUGCUGGGGAGAUCCGUUAAAAUGCAAGGGACUCCAGGUGCACCGGGGUCUUCGCGAGUUUCUGGGUUGGAAGCCCCUGGCGGGUUUAAGCGCCCUCUAAGUCGCGGGGCAGCCAAGUGCAGCGGCAGGGCGCGAGCAAGAUGACCGAGACCCAUCACCCCUGAACCCCAGGACUUGGGCCGAGAGAGAGAGAACACGUGGCCGCUUUGCAUGUGCGCCAUCGACUGCAAGUUCAGUAGCCGCUGCGUGUGAUCCGAGGUGGAAACCCGGCUUGUCCCUAUUGUAGCUGGGAAGGACAUAGUAAGGUAACAAGAAAACCUCACUGCGUGAAACUUCAUCAACAUGGUAUAGUGCAAGCAGCCUGGUGAAUAAAAGGUCUGUAGGUUUUCAGGGCUUGGUACAUGUUACCAUGUACCAACAAGUUAGGCUGGCGGUGACAGUUUUCAAGAAAACAAAUUAUACACGUGCACCAACACCUGUUGACUGUAAGCCAUUGAUCCCCUCAUAAAAAUGAUAAAAA